This 27917-nucleotide long non-coding RNA is filed under the name Daucus carota (carrot). RNAcentral's name for it is "long non-coding RNA (DCAR_LNC000013)". Lineage: Eukaryota; Viridiplantae; Streptophyta; Magnoliopsida; Apiales; Apiaceae. The record is from RNAcentral.
CAAACAACAUAAUCACCACUGAUUAAUCACAUAGUAUUAUUGAACUAAGCGGUCAUGGAUAAUAAGGAACAAAGAAUAUUUACAUUAAUUACUAUGAUUACAAGGAAUGAUUAGCAUACUUAUGGUUCAUCGGAUCAAUACUUGGCUUCCAUCAUUUUUUCAUCAGUUGAAUCAUCGGCCAUCCAAUUUUCUACUUAAAACUAAUAUUGUCCCCGGCCCAAGAUAUACAGAUUUAGAAGAAAAAUGAAAAUCUCAAAUUAACUCAUUCAAAUUCCAACCCUCAAUAAAUAAAAAUCGACCAAGUUACUUACAUGAUGAGAAUUCGCAAGCUAAUUCCCCAUAACAACAAUGGACUAAAACUGAUCGAAACACCUUAAAAUCGAACUCAUUUACAAGUUUCACGUCAAUGCUUGAUAAUAACAACCAAAUAUCAAGACUAGCUUGUAUAGAUCAACAAGCUGAGAUCUCCAUCAAGGCUUAAUUAGCACAUGAGUAGUGCACGUACCCUGCAGAGAUCACAUCUUGCGCAAACCAAACUCGCAACUUCUUCAUCAUCAUAUGUAUAUAGUUACCUGUUUGAUAUAGGGUUUGGUCCACUUGGCACUGAGUGCUCGUCACCUUGGAACUCAACUUUUCCUUUACCAGAAUUCUUACCCGUCUUGAUCGUAUUAGAUGAUGACGAUGAUGCUGAAGCCGAAAAAUGAGCAUUAGCUUGCGAAACUAACUGCCUUCGGCUUUGAAGAUUAGUUGGAAGCAUUGAGGAAACAGUGCCACAUCUCAAGAUCAAAGUGGAAAGGAAGAAGAUAAAGAAUGUCGCCAAGGAAACGAGUAAAAUAGAUCUAGAGUAAUGAUAUUUGGUGGGAGCUCUGGAGAUUGCCAUGUUAUACACUACAACAAAUUAAGGCUUUUUACUAGAUAGGGAUUUUUAACCAAAGAUCAGAGAGAUGUCUAGAAGCAAGAAGAUAUGAAACUAAGAGAAAGAAGAAGGAUUAAGGUAAAAGAAAGAGUAAUAAACAAUGUAAAGGUUUCAAGAUGGUGAGGGAAUAUUUGGCAGUCAAGAGAAACUAGAAACUGGAAGACAACUUUUUUGCAAUUAUAUAACAGAAGAAGCUUUGGCAACAAGAGAGAAGCUUUUUCUUGCUUUGCUGGUUAGUUUUUGACUUUUUUGACCAGGGAACCCAAAGUCUGGAAAAGAUGGUCAUCUUGGCAUAUCAGACUUUAACUAAAGUAAGUGAUUAUAUGCUUCCCCGGCCCUUUCUCUGCCCCGUAUUUAGAGAAACCUAAAUAAGUAUAUAUGCAGGUUAGAGCAUCAAAACUGAGGUUAUAUAUACAUAAAGCAGUUGAUGAUUACUCUCUAUAUAACUUCAAUUGUGAAAAGCUGAAGAUGACAUGCAUGCAUGCAUGCAAUUACAUUUACACCUUCAUACCUUGACCAGUGAAUACCAAUUUGCUCAAUGCUCUGACAUAUAUUUGGAUUUGCUUAAUGGUUUAUGAUAUCACGUUUGAUCAUAUUAUAUUUUAAUAAAUUGUAUAUAUUAAUUCGGAUUCAAGUACAUCAUCUUUGGGAUAAAUUCUUGACCAUCGUAUACCUUAUUUAUAAUCCUUUAAAAAGAAAAAACUUUGAGUACUGCCAGUAGGAUCAAACACUUUGGAAUCGAACAUAGAAUCUCAUCUAAAACUUGAAUUAAAUUCUAACUUUAAGCUAAUUAACCAUUUAUUAUGAAUGAUAAUAGUAUCUAGCAUGUUUAACAACAAUUAUGGAUUAAAAAAUAACAUGAUUCUAUGUGAUAUUAAUCAUGUAAAGAAUAUAUACAUGAUUCUAUUCUAGAUUCUAUUUUGGAUUCUGUUCAGGAUUCUAUAAUAUUUCAUAUUAAUAAUUUGGAUAGAUUUGGAUGUUAGAUUUCAUAUAUUAAAUUUAGUUAGUGCUUAACUAUGUAAUUAUAAUCAUAACAAAUCAUUUUUUAUGAAAGAAAAAGUGUUAUGACAGUGUUUUGAUAGUGUUCUGUGUUGUUCUUUUUUUAAAGUGUUCUGUGUGGAGUGCAACCCUAUAUAUAUAUAUAUAUAUAUUAAAAUUUUAUUUCUACCAACAUAUCAUAGUUAAAGACCUUCAACAGAAAACAUAUUUACAAUUGCUUAAAAAUGUAUCGGUUAUAUGUCAAACAAAUGUAGGUACCGACUGCGCCAUAAAAUAAAACUAAGGGCCCAAGCUGCAGAAAUCGAAGAUUUUGUUGCCCCCUCUUUUAUUACUUUGUUUGCAUUCAAUAAUGGGAGUAGUUAUAAUAUGCUAAUUAACAGUAAGAAAUCAAGGUUUUUUGUAUCUUUCAAAAUCACUACAGUAAAAACAUGUUUCCUCAGAUUAUCAAGUCCUUUUCACCAGCCUGAUUUUGCAAUAGAAAAUAUGAACAAGUGAGCGAAUAGACAUCAUGUGGUCCACUAAUCUUUUCACACUGAUAAUUAUACAAUGAUUGUAAGUAAAUUUCUGUACACUUGACUGAUACAUGUAUACAAUGUUUAGAGCACACUACGUAAAAUUAAAAUGCUUAGUUUAAAAUAUAUAUAUAUAAUGUUGAUUAUUCGUACUAUUUGUGUAAUAAUUUGAGAAAAAUUUAUAAAAAAUCAAGAGUACUCAGCUUUUGUUUUAUGGUUUUUAAUUCUUUUCCAAACACUUUAAUCAGUUAUAAGUAUUAACUUGAUUCUAAUUUUACUUCACUUUUUUAUUUUAAACAAAAAUCACUUAUUUUAAACUCACUCAAACGGUUUCAUAGUUUUGGAUGAUAACCAGACAAUAUAACUAAGGAAUGAUUUAUGAUCGGACUUCUUACAAAUUUUACCGUCUAUUACAAAGAAAAAAUGGAAAAACAAAAUACCGUCAAAAGAUAAUAUAUCAAACCAAAUUAUAAAUUAUAGUCACUUUAUGUUGACCGCGGUCUCAUCUUGGGUGAGUGAAGAAGCUCCCACUAAUUCUUGAAACCCUCACUUGAGUCUAGGGUUCAUGUCACAGCGGCACGGGCAUGCCAGAGUGGGCAUGCCAGACUGGGCAUGCCCUAGGCAUGCCUUUUGUCCAUUUGGCAUGCUUUUUUACUAAUUUUUUAUAUAAAUAAUAAAAUUUAUAUAAAUAUUAUAUCUUAUAAAUAUUGAAAAUUUUAAAUAUAGUCCAACUUCAUAGUUAAAUAUUAGAUAAACUACUAAUAUAAGUUAGUAUUGUACUAAGUUCGGUUCUUAAUAUUUACUAUUUUUGUUAUAUUUGUAAGUGCACUUUAGUAUCAAUCCUGUAAUGAUGCAGCAGUUUUUGCUAUAUUUAAUGGAAAAUGGCAUGCCAUUUGGGCAUGCCUUUUUGUAAAAUACAUGCCUAUAGGAAAAUGGCAUGCCAUUUGAGCAUGCCUUUUUGUAAAAUACAUGCCUAUAGGAAAAUGGCAUGCCAUUUGAGCAUGCCUUUUUGUAAAAUACAUGCCUAUAGGCAUGCCAGUGAGAACUGCCGUGACAUGUACCCUACUUGAGUCACUGUAAUAAAGGCCAGGAUUCAAGUGGGUAAAAUGACUUUACCAAAAGACAUGGGUAUGAUUAAGUUGAUUAGUGGUAUAAGUAAGAAGUUUUUUUUAGCAUAAUAUAGUGAAAAAGAUUGUCUUGUGCAGCUGGCAGGGCACCAAAUUAUCUAUCUAGUAAAACCUAUUAUCUUUGCAAUCUUUUUUUAAAGCAUUAUUCACCUAAUCUGCAUUGUCUGAGAAAAAUAAAUAAGUCCAAUCAAAUCCGUACACGGUCUGUCUGGCAUCUAUAUAUUUUUUUGAUUAUUUUCUUGCAGUACUGUAUGAAUUUAUAAUGGGCCUCUCUACAUGUUGGAUCUGUUUAGGAAACUCAGCUGAUUACUGUUUCGUUUUAAACCACAUUAAUCCCUGUGAACGCUUUGCUACAAGGAGUAGAAACAAAACAAAAAGAUAAGACAUCCGAGAGAUAUUAUUGAACGUACCAAAAGACCUGGUCAUUCAUCCCAGCUCGAUCUCUGUUGUUAGUAACUUAAUUGGGGAAGAUGAUCAGUUGCAUGCGGAUUUCAUCCUUGACCUCUAUUCUUACCAUAUAUAUAUAUUGUGGUGGUGGUUUCAUUUUUGUAUCACGCGCCAAUGUUUUCAUCAUUCAGAGUAGUAACAUUCUUUUAUCAUAAAAAUAAUGCAUAGAUUUGUUAAAAAUAAAAUCAAGAAUUAAAUGCUUGUUGCACCAUUUUAGUUUUAACUAUUUGCAUUUUACAUCAAAUAAUUUUAUGAUAAAAACUUUACAUUUCUUAAAUUCAAAAACCGCCACACUUUGAACCGAAGGUGAUAUUAACAGUUAAAACAUGAUGAAAAGAUGUCUAAUACAGAGAGUUUCGGGGUUAAGAAACGUAAAUCAAAGAUUUACAUUGAACUGUAAAUUCUAAUUUAUACCGUAGAUUUUUGCCUCUAGAAAUUACAAGCACGCGACAUUCUACUGUAGAAUUUAAAUAUUGGACAAACUUAAGAAUUCUACAGGAGUAGAUUCAUUUUCAGGUCCUCACUUACAGUCCAAUUGAUGUUGGGCCGCAAUAGGGCUUGCCGAGGAAUAGCCCGAAGAAUAUUAUAUAAGUGUUGUGAAAUGUGUCGAUAACCUUUUUCUGGGUUAACUUAUGUCAAUAACUAAUUGGGUUCUUUAGCAAAGAAAAAGAGAAAAAAAUCGAAAAUUUGGCAUUAACUUGAUCAUUCGAUUAUUAACAAACUUAAUAAGAUUUACAAGAAAAACAACCAUGAAUCACAUAUUCUAGUGGAAGCUUUUUCAUAUUUUGGUGGAUCAAUUAUUAAAUGACAUGAGUUUGAUAAAAAAAAAUUACUAACAAAAUGUAGAAUUUUUCAAAAUACAAAAUAUUUAAGCAAGUUUUUAACUUCUAAAAAUAAAAAUUCAAACUGAAAUUUAUCAUAGAAUUUUUCAAAAUACAAAAUAUUUAAGCAAGUUUUUAACUUCUAAAAAUAAAAAUUCAAACUGAAAUUUAUCGAUGUAAAAAGAGAGAAUCAAAAUUAAUAGGUAAUAAUACGGGUCAAUGAUUAGUUAAAAAAUCGAUACUGAUCGGAUCAUUAAUCGAUAUUAAUUUAAUAUUAUUUUUAAUAUAAUAAUAUAUAUAAAAUUAAUUUUUUAAAAUUAUUUUUUCUAAUAUUAUUACUAAUAAAUUUAAUUUUUAACCGAUUAAUUAUUAGUUACUAAUUACUACUGCCUCUGUCUCUUCCAAGUAGGGGUGUACACGGGUUGAUGAAACCGACCGAUCCAAUCCGAACCGAUCAUAUUUUACCCGAACCAAUCUGAAUUUUUUUACCCGAUAGAUAAUUGGAUUAAAAAAUGAUCAAAUCGAUUUAAUUGGGUUGGACACGGGUUUCAAUUUUCUUAAACCGAUCCAACCCAACCCGAUAUAUCCGAGGACUCUCAAGCCAUUAUCUAUACUUUGUCUGCUCGAAUUUAUAUUUGCCACUGUUAACAAACAGAUUGUUAUUAGUUAUUUACAGACAUUUGUUAACAGACAUUGUUCUCUAUUUAUUAAAUAAUAGUAUUCUGUUUGCUUUUUGUAUACCGGAGACUCUGGAGUUAGUUUUAUCUCUUUGACAAACUCAUCAAAGCAACAUUCCACCGAUAUAAGAUUAAAUUCAUUAUUAUGUUUGUUUAGAAGCACACGAACAUGAAUAUUGUUUGUUUGUUACGUAAAUGUAUUCAUGACCUUAAAUUUAUUAACUUAAUCAAACCAAUCCGAAUAGAAUCAAACCGAAGUACUACAAAUUGGUUUGGUUUAUAGAUUUAUAUGGUUCGGAUUGGAUUGAAAAUUUGAAAAUCCGAUUUAAUUGAGUUGGGUUAACAAAUUCCGUCAACCCGCUCAAUUCGAACCGUGUACACCCCUACUUCCAGGUAGUUUACCUUUGGGUUGUGAGUUUGACACACAUUCUGAUGUUUUAUAAAAAAAUAAUUUUAUAAUACUGUUUUAACUUUAUUUUGAAUAAAAAUUUGAUAUUUGAAUUUAUACACACAAAAAUCUCAAAAAUAAAUAUUAGAACUAUAUUUUAUAGGAGUUUUAAAAUACGUGUCGAAUAGUGAAAAACAAUUAAAAAAACGGAAAUCUACAAAACUACCUACCUUUUCUUUUAUUGUUUUCAAAAAUACUACCUUUCAGAAUUAUUUUUAAAAAUACCUUUUCAUAAAUUUUUUUUCAAAAAUACGGUUUGCAACUUUUGCAACCUCAUUUGCAACUCCAGGCGGCGCCAGCCGUGUUGCAACCUCUUUUGCAACUUCAUAUGCAACCAAAUUCCUGAUUUCAAGUUCCAGUUUUCGAAUGUCGUUUUCGACCUCAUUUUCGGAAUCUAUAUAUAUAUAUAUAUAUAUAUAUAUAGUUGCAAAUGAAGUUCCAACUGCAGUUGCAACUUUUGCAACCUCAUUUACAACUAUAUAUAGUUUUCAGUUGCAUUUAGUUGCAACUGAGGUUGCAAAUGAAGUUGUAAUCUAAUGGCCCCGCCAGGGGCACACCAUAUAUCUGUUGUUACUUGCAGUUUUCAGUUGCAAAGUUGCAACUUCAUUUGCAACCUCAUUUGCAACUUUUGCAACCUCAUUUACAACUAUAUAUAGUUUUCAGUUGCAUUUAGUUGCAACUUGCAGUUUUCAGUUGCAUUUAGUUGCAACUGAGGUUGCAAAUGAAGUUGCAACAGUUGCAACUUCAUUUGCAACCUCAUUUGCAACUUUUGCAACCUUCAUUUGCAACUUACAGUUUUCAGUUGAACUAGUUGCAAUUGCAGUUGCAACAGUUGCAACGGUUGCAACUUUUCAUUUUUAUUUGCAAGUGACUUUUCCAUUUCACAUGUCGUUUUCUCCCUCAUAUAUGUGGAAUACAGAUGUAUAUAUAUAGAUGUCUAAACAGAGGUCGAAAAUGGCAACUGAAAACUAGAAGUUGCAACUUACAGUUUUCAGUUGAACUAGUUGCAACAGUUGCAAUUUUCCAUUUUUAUUUGCAACUUUUGCAACCUCAUUUGCAACUUUUGCAACCUCAUUUGCAACUUUUACGGCUGCGCCGCCCAAGGUUGCAAAAGUUGCAAAUCGUAUUUUUGAAAAAAAAAAUUUAAUAAUAAUUUUACAGAUGGGUAUUUUUAAAAAAAUCCCUAAAAAAAACUAGAGGAAUAUACAAGAAAAACAACCCUGAAUCACAUAUUGGGGGAUCAAUUAUUAAAUGACAUGAGUUUGAUAAAAAAAAUAUUACUAACAAAACAUAAUUUUUUUUUUCAAAAUACAAGAUAUUUAAGCAAAUUUUUAACUUCUAAAAAUAAAAAUUCAAACUGAAAUUUAUCUACGUAAAAAAGAGAGAAUCAAAAUUAAUAGGUAAUAAUACCGGUCAAUGAUUAAUUAAAAAAAUUGAUAAUGAUCUGAUCAUUAAUCAAUACUAAUUUAAUAUUAUUUUUAAUAUAAUUAAAUAUAUAUAAUUAAUUUUUUUAAAAAAAUCCUAAAAUUUUAAUAUAUUUAGUAAUAAAUCCAAUUUUUAACCGAUUAUUUACUAAUUACUUCCGGGUAGUUUACCUCUAACAAACGACAUCCUGGGAGGUGGGACUGUUCCAACGUCCUCAUAAAACCUUGCUAAACCCUAAUUUCACACCCCUUUUUCUCUCUUGGAUCCACAAAAUCUCAAGAUGGUGCACCAGAAGAAAAGUAAGUAAUUUUCAACACACCCAUCUGUUUUAAUCACCCAUAUCAUCUCUCCCCCAUAUAAUUAUGCAUAUUCAUUAAUUCAUGUGUCUUGUAUUUCAAUUUGUUGAUAGAGAGCAAGAACAAGAGAAUCACACUGAAAAGAAAGUCAAAAGUGAUUAAGAAAGUGACAGAGCAUCACAAGAAGAAGGCCAAGCAAGCCCAGAGGCAAUUGGGUAUUGAUAGAAAGAAGCUUAAAGAAAACGACAAUAAUGGUGAUUUGGAAAAGGCUGCUAGUGUUGUUAGUGGUGAUUGGAGUGUUAAGGAGCAGGAUCUUAAUGCCCUUCAGGCUCAUCGGGCUCGAACUGUCGAUGUUGUUCGGAAAGAGAGGGUAUGGCUUUAACUGUGUUUUGGGUUGCUAAAGUUUGUGGCUUAUGACAUUUUGAGGGAAGUGAUAAUUGAGUUGAGUAAUGGGUGAAAUAUGGCUUUUCAGAUUAUGUAUGAAUGUGCUAUCUGUUUUUAACCGUAAAAAGCUGCUUUAUAUUAAUUACGUUUUGUAUUGUGUCUAUGUUUUUUAAUAUGUGUGAUUAUUGCUAGCAAUGCUUUGAUUGAUGUUUGUUAUUUCGUCAUGAGAAUAGUUUAAGAUACUUAACUUGGACUGAUGAAUAUUGAUCUGGUAGUUAAGCUUUAAAAUUUAAUAUACUCACUCGAAUUAUUACUUUUAAAUGUUUAUUAAGGCAAACAAAAGAAAAUUUGAGCUAUUAGAGGAUGUUGAGCCAGAUCGUGGUUUUGGCAAUGAAGAAAGUUCUACUGCUAAAUCUCUUGGAAUGGUUAAAAUUCGUGGUAUGUUGUUUUUUCUUGAGUCACAUGAGAAUUUUUUUAUUUUGGUUGUGUGCAAAAAAUGACGUUUUAAUCUCAUUUGGUUAUAAAUUCAGAUAACUCAGACAGGGCCUUUUACAAGGAGUUGGCGAAAGUCAUUGAAGCCUCAGAUGUCAUCUUGGAAGUGCUUGAUGCCCGCGAUCCAAUUGGUACCCGUUGUGCCGAUGUGGAAAAGAUGGUGCUGAGAGCAGGUUAUGAGAAGCAUCUUGUGUUGUUGCUCAAUAAGAUAGGUAUUCCUCUCACUUUUGUCCAUUUGUUUUUCUCUCUCUCGUCUGCCUCUCACUCUGUGGUCGUGGAUUUGGUAGACACCUUAAUUUAAAAAUAGAACAUUCUCUCUACAUACUAGAAAACAUUACAUUAUCGGUAUGGCGACCUAUGCCAUGUUUAUGUGCUUAAAUGACCUAUGACAACUAACAACUAAUAACUGCAGUACUGAAUUAUAAUAAAAUACUUCAUGCUUGUGUUUCCCACUUCUGAAUUGUGUUCUUACACUACAGAUCUUGUCCCUCGGGAAGCUGUUGAGAAGUGGCUCAAGUAUCUUAGAGAAGAACUACCAACGGUAGCUUUUAAGUGUAGCACACAAGAGCAGAGGUCAAACUUGGGCUGGAAAUCUGCACCAAAGGCUUCAAAGGCUGCUAAAGUUGCUGCAAAACCUGGCAAUCUUCUUCAAACUAGUGACUGCCUUGGAGCUGAAACACUAAUCAAAUUGCUUAAAAACUACUCAAGAAGCCACGAGGUAUGCAAUGAUAUAUAUAUAUCUGCUGCUUUUUUUUUUUUGUACAAUAACCCAAGUUUUAAUGAAAUUACAUCAUCAUGUUCUAUUUUAAAUGAGUAGAAGAUAAAACUUGUUGUUUCUGCUGAUCAGAUGGAUUUAUACACCUAUUGCCAUGGAAAAUUAAGAUUAUAAUAUAAGUUACUCUAAUACUUAAUAGAAAGUAGCUAGGAGUGGAAAUAUUUGAUUUUUUUUGGUUUAUAGCAUAGCAGAUGUCCUACUUCUCUUAUUAAUAGGUUGCGGCUUUAAGCCUUUGUUUUUUGUUUUUGUUUUUUGGGUAAAUGAGGGCGGCACCUCAUAUGAAUUUUAUAAAUAAAAACAAAAGAUACCACCUGGGGAGAAAAACACACCCAGGACAAGCAACAGAUUUCUCAGAACAACCUCCGAGAAAUCAAAACAACAACACCUAACCACUUAAAAGCGUCCAAAUAUAAUUACAAGCAGAAAAAAUGAUAAAACAAGUCCUGUUGGACACACCCACAAAACUCCAGAAAAACAAUUUGUUGAGGCAGGACCACACUGUGCAUCUCCAGAUGUCCACCUUGAAAAAACAAACUAGACCCUUCAAGUGAUGCACCUGACUUCCUGAACAACUCCACAAUAAAACAAUCAGCCCCUUCACCAUACGACCAACUAAAAGCCCCCUGAUCAAAAACCUCACCUCUGCUACAUACACUGAUAUAACCACCAAAGGAAAACCUUCCCUGAAAUCAACAGAAAGCCAGACCCAGAGCCACAUAAACCGCAAAAUAAAAGCCAGCAAUCCACGUAAACCAUGCAUACUCAAACAGAUACACCAGCGUUGAAUACUAAUGACCACCUGGAAAUUGAUAUGCAUGAUCAACAGAAACAUACUACUACUCACCAACAUCGCAGCAAAAAACAAGCACACCCACUCCCAGCAGCACACUAGCUCCCAAACCAUCUGAUCACCAGCAGUACAUAACACCAGACUAACGAAUAAAUUGACCAGACUACGAUGACAGCUCACUUCGAAUUCCUGAUUAGACCUACAGCCCCAAAGACAAGCAAUAGAAUACUGACUACAAAGAACAAGCAGACCCACAUAUCUGAAAAACUCCCAAAGGUGCAGAAAAACACCCAUACCACCAGACUCAAGUAUUCUGAUCAACUGCUGCGUGCAUCCCCAGCUGGCCAGAACUGCUAUAACCCUCAGACCCUUAGCUAAUAAAUUAUGAUGUACUAAAGUACAUAAAAUACUCAGGAAACACCACAAAAAUUCCCAGAUUAAAAACACCUCUGCAACAGAUACAGACCCCAACUGAUUAGCCUUUGUUGAGGUAUGGGUAUAUGAGUUUUUGAAUAUAUGCUAAUGACCGUGUUAAUACAGACAAAUUUUGUUUCUGAAGUUGGUGUGAGUUUACAUAUUUAAUAUUAUUGCCAUGUUGGACAUGGUCUAUCAAGUUGUUUGUUCUUGUUUUAGAUCUUCUUUACUUCUCACUUAUCCUUUUUCUUUUUAUCAGUUAAGGUAUUUGCCCCUCUUCCAUGAUAUGUGUGGGAUGCGGGCAUAUGACCUGUGUAACUAUGUUUUCCCUUGCAAUUUUCCUUGUUGUAUUAAUGGAAAUUCCUGUGCUUAUCUCCAACAGCAUAACACCAAAGUGCUAUGUUUGUUUAGAGGAACUAGAGUUGAAUUAUGCCCUGAAUACUCUAUCCUAUGAAACAAACAUAAUCAAGGCAUAGGCAUUUGACUUAACUGUUAAUAGACCCUGUUCAUUAAUUUAUUUCAAGAGAAAUCGCUCUACAACUAGACCAGCUGUCUGGCUGAGAUCAAGCUCAAGUAACUUAGAUAACAUGGGGCCAGCGACAUAUAACAUAUUGCAUGCACCAAAGAGAAAUAAACAAAUAAAUUUCAUAAUAGCAGCAUAAAAGUUAACUCAUUAUUAAAAUAGAAUCCUCACUCUCGACUCCUGAGAAAUGUUUGUGAUUGAUUGUUUACUUGUAUAUUUGAAGGGAAUUGUGGAAAUUGACCAGAGUAAGAUUCUUCUUUAAAUAUAAUAUAUAUAAAGCUUGACAGAGUUUAAUGCAUAUUUCAUCUGAAGUUCUUGCCGGCUUGCUGCACAUUAGGAGAUAUAAACUCUUUUGUUGUUGCAGUUUCUUGCCACUAGGAUUGCUAUACUGGCAGGAAUUCUAGAUUGUGAAUUGUCAUCAUGAUCAUAAUACUUCCCAAAAGAGUUUAACUAUGAUUAGGAUUAGAGAUGUUUAUGUAUAUUAUAUUAGUUGUCCUACCCAGCUUCAGGCGUGGGGUUUGUUGGUAACUAGUUACUUGCCUUCUACAUUGAUCUUCACCUCUUCAGUAUUGUCUAAAAUCUGAUAACCAUUUUCCCUUGCAGAUCAAGAAAUCAAUAACAGUGGGUGUUGUUGGCCUACCCAAUGUUGGAAAGAGUAGUCUGAUUAACAGCUUGAGAAGAUGUCAUGUUGUCAAUGUUGGUGCUACUCCAGGACUAACAAGAUCUAUGCAAGAGGUUCAAUUAGAUAAGAAUGUUAAAUUAUUGGAUUGCCCUGGGGUUGUUAUGGCUAGAUCUGGAGAAAGUGAUGCAUCUAUUGCUCUUCGAAAUUGCAAGAGAAUUGAGAAGUUAGAAGAUCCUGCUGGGCCAGGUAAUGUAAUAAACCCUCUUCAGCAAUUUCCAAGUAUAUGUAGUGAAAUAGUGGAUCUUACACAUAAUCAUUUGACCUCCUAUAAUAGUUAUUCAGAUUCAUUGAACCAAAUUUAUGCUGAUUUUUACCGUUCCAUCGUCAUGCUGGUGGUUGAAUUUUCUGUCGAUUUUUAUCAGAGAUCCUUUAAUUUAAGAUGUUACUCAAGCCUCAAGGUCCCCAUUGUGGAUUUGUAAUCGUUCCUUGUGAAUCAUAUCAUGUGGUUAUUCUUUCUACACAACUAUAUAUGUAAUAUCUUUUGAACAGUGGUUAAUUUACUUGUAGAACUCAUGUCUGUGAAUUUGUAUUACUUUACUAGCUACAACGUUGUUCAACGGAUUUAUAGUUUGUAUACAAUGUUUAUGUUGUACAGUUUCAUAAUCCUUUUACAGAGGAAUGUGUUCUUUUGUUUUCAUUCACACACACACACAUAUUAAUAUCUAAAAGUAUCGACUUAUUACUUUUGCAAUGUUGCAGCUUCUUAUAUUCAUCCAUAUUAAUUCUUCUUGCUCGAUGUCCACUUUGUGCAGUCAAGGAAAUUCUUAAUUUAUGUCCUGCCGAGACGUUGGUAUCCAUAUACAAGAUCCCCAGUUUUAAUUCAGCUGAUGAAUUUCUUCAGAAUGUAGCAACUGCUAGGGGGAAGCUCAAAAAGGGUGGGAUUAUAGAUGUUGAUGCUGCUGCAAGAAUUGUUUUGCACGACUGGAAUGAAGGUAUCAGUUAUCUCUAACCUUUCCUUAUGCACUGGCAUUAAUUAAGAAAAAGUUGUAAAGGUCAUAAAUGAGUUGCCAGUUGAAUUAUGCUUUAUGUGCCUUCUUUUCUUAGGUAAAAUUCCCUACUAUACAAUGCCCCCAACUAGGGAUGCGGGAGUCCCUUCGGAAGCAAAGAUCAUAUCAGAACUUGGAAAGGAGUUCAACAUCGAUGAAGUAUAUGGUACAGAAUCAUUUAUUGGCAGUCUAAAAUCUGCAGAUGAUUUUCAACCUGCUGAAAUGCUGGCAAGUGCUACUAUCACCUCUGAUGAGAAGAUGAGUGAGGUUUGUAUAGUAUCAAUCUUUCUGUACAAGCACUGGUGAUCUUUAUGGGUAUUUAUUCUUUUAUAUCACAGUAAUUAAAAGAGGAGACUUCAUAUAGUAUUGAUGUGUAGCAUGUGUCGUACUUUAUCGUCUCAAACAUAUUUUACACAAAACUAGUACUGCGAGUCUUGGUUUCUGGGGGGCAUGCUACAAUUAAAUUAGUAAUUAUGGCUUGAUGUCAGCAGCCAGUUUUUUUUUAUAUAUAUAGGUCCUUUGCUAUGUCCAAACUCCUUAUAAACUAAACUGAAUUACUUUUUACUUAAAAGGAUGUAAUGCAGGGUAACAAGGUUGUAGAUCAGAGUCAUGAUAAUGAUGACGAGUGCAUGGCAGAAGAAGAUAGCCCAGAUGUGAAAAUGGCCAAAACGGCUAGUGGCAGGCAGAAUGUGAAGUUAUAUGCUACAACAGAUGUACUAAACACCAAGUUGAGGAAAGCGGAAAAAAGGAGGAUGAAAAAGGCCAAAAAAUUAUCUGCAAUGGAAGCUAAGAUGGAAAGUGAUGAUAUUGAUGACUUUGCUGAGGAUGCUGCUAUGAAUGAUGUUGAUGAGGAUCAAUCCAUCGUAACUUCCAGCAAGAACAGAUUCGAGAUCCCUGUGGAGCUUGACAAGUAAUGUAUGUAUGCAAGAACAUGUAUCCCAUUCAUAAACAUUAUGAGCACCCUGAUUUUAAGAAGUCUUCCAGAAUGUAUACGAUUUAUAUUCAAGCACAUUUUGUAGUGAUGCAACUACAAUGUACACGAAAUUAAGCAUUAAAUGCAAUUUUUGUGAUACUUCCUCUCCUUGUCUAUGCUAUCAAUUUUUGUGAUACUUCCUCUCCUUGUCUAUGCUAUCUGUAUUCUUUGUGAUUACAUGAUGAGGCAGAAGCCUAUUAGGGGCCUUAUUUGGAUCUGUAUGAGGUGUGAGCCUUUCUGCCUAUACGGCUAUACCAUUCUGAUUUAAGUAGUUAGGAAGUGGGAUGUGUUUGAUGAUUAAAAUUAUCAAACAGUUUAGGGAACGGAGUCAUGAGUUGUGUCAUGUGACCCAGCCGUUGAUUGGUCUUGCCUGAUUUUGCUUUUGAAGGGCUUAUAACAAAUCUAACAGCCCAACUCAUCUCUAUAUUUAUUAUUUAGACAGACAUUCUUCGAGAAUAGGAAGCCUUCUUGGCCUACUCGCUGCCCAUCAUGCACCUUCUGUUAGUAAUUCCUGGGCUUGUUCUGUAGUCAGCGGAACCAGGGCUCGUGCGGGCCUGCUUGAUCAGACAGUGGCCCAAGUUUGAUUUCUGCAUGUAAGCCCAGCCCAAGAUCCCCUUGUAUGGUUAAGUUAAAGUAUUAUUGAUAGUUGAUACACGCAAACGCCAAACACACAACAGAACUGCAACGAGCUAAUGGAGUGUUUGGUAGCGGCCCGGAGACAUAGGACUCUCUCCGCUCAAAUGAUAUACUCCCUCUGUUUUUUAAUAUAUGACGUUUGACUUUUUGGCACACACUUUUAAGUGCUUUGACCGGAUAGUUAAAAGUAUUAUUUUUGAAUUUUUCUUUUUCUGAAUAAAAAUAUACAAUCAAAAUUUUAAUUCACAAAAAAAAUCAAUCAAAAAUAAUGUUUUUUACUAUCCGGUCAACCCACCUAAAGUUACGUGCCCAAGUCAAAAGUGUCAUAUAAAAAAAAACAGAGGGAGUAGAAUAUUAAUUAUAUAAAAUCGGUUUUUCUAUGGUGUGCCCAUGGGCAUAUGCUAAGCGCGGAAAAUUUUGUGCUUGGAUCAUUUUGAUUGGUUCCUAUCUCAUGAUAAUGGUGGACCCCCCUGCAAAUACACCAACCACACCAAUAAAAAUCUCUCAAAUACAAAAAUUUCCGCGCUUAGCAUGUGCCCAUGGGCACACACUAGCCAAACCGAUAUAAAAUUAUUAAAACAUGUUUCAAUGAAAUUGAUUAUAGAAUUUAACUAUAUUUUAUAACAGAGUAGAUUAUUACUCCCUCCGUCCCUUUUUAUCUGUCCAUUUUUGAAAAAAAAAACACAUACCAAGGAAUAAUUGAUUGUAUAAACUUUUUCAUUAAAUACCUCUAAUUAAUAUCUUGAAAAUGGUGAAAUACCCCUACUUUAUGUCUUGAAAACAUGAAUUCAACCAAGUUUUAAAUAAGUCAAGCCUUGAAAAUUGAAAUUAUGGAGAUAUAUUUGAAAAACUAUCAUUAAAUUAGUUUUGAAAGUAUAUAUAGACAGAUAAAUAGGGACAAAUUUUUACUUCCAAAGUGGACAAAUAAAUAGGGACGGAGGGAGUAUUAUUUUAAAUAAUCAUAGAUUAAAUGUAUUAUUUUAUUUAAGAAAUGACUGCGGAGGCCAGGCCAGUAGGCCACCUUGAUAGAUACCCCAACCCACCCUCACAAUAAUUUUCAUCCUAUUCACACAUAUUACAUGCAAGUUACAGCCUAACACUGAGAGUUAUUUGUCUUCUAUUUUUCACACCACUCACUCUUAUUCAAAGCUAGCUAAUAAUCAAAAGUUGGACAAACAAAUUUAACAGGCCAACUGAUCUCUAGAUUGAGCCAUUUCUUCGAAAAUAGGAAGCCUUCUUGGUCUACUUGACCCCCAUGCAUUCAUUAAUUUCUCAAGCCCAUCAACAAAAUCUUCAUCAAGAUCAAGUCCCAUUAUAUCUGAUGCCACUAUUUCUGGCCGGUUCAGUUCCAAUUCUGCAAGUAAUUCUUCGGCCCUCCUCCUUGUUCUCAUGUCAUCAGAACCAGGGGUUGUGCCCUGCUGUAUACCUUCAAGGACUGAACGGGCCUCGUCGUAUCGGGCCUGCUUGAUGAGACAGUAGCCCAAGUUACAAGCCUUGUUAGCAUCGGGAUCAAUCAUCUGUGCCUUUUUGUAUACAACCUCUGCUGCCAUAUAGUUUGAUUUCUGCAUGUACGCCCACCCCAAGUUCCCCUAUAGCAAACAAAGAAAACAAGUUGAGCAAAGAUGCAUGAACUAUGCCCAUAUAGUUGUGCUUGUGUAUCACAAAAAUGCAUUCUUUAAAUUUAUAGGUUCAAAUUAUAAUGCUUUACCAGUAUUCUGGAGGUUUCUUGCUUGACAGAAACCUGAAACUUCUUGCCAUGAGAUCUAGCCGUUUUGGUAGGCCUUCCAUUGAAUGCCUCUCCUCUAUAAAUCAUCCUUAGCUUCUGUUUUAACAUCACUAUUUGUUCGUCUAUUCUCCCGCAUUUCUAGUUAAGCAAAUAAUUAACCAAAUAUAAAUAUGAUGAUUAAGAAAACAAGGAACAAACUAUAGAUAACAUGCACAAUAUAUGCUAUGCUAGUACCUUGUACAAGUCAAUGAGAAUGUUGUCGAUUGAUUCUUGGGAGCUUUUGGAGCAAAGAACUCGAAAAGAUUUAAUGGCUUCAAUGGCCUCUUCAGUUCUAUCUAACUGCUUCAUCACCACAGCCAUGUCCUUUAGGGCACUGUCUACCCUAUCUCCUGCAUUUAUGGCCUUCCAGAACCACACGAUAGCAGCUUCUGGAUCCUUUUGCACUAUCUGAACAUUUUUUAACAUAUUUAGAUGAAAUAUCUAAAUUAAAUAUGAAUGGAAUCUUUAAAAAGUACAAUGAUUUAAUCGAUCAAGUACUAUAUAUCAAAAAUGAGAUUGUCAGGUAAAAGGAAUGAAAGAUCAAGCGUGUUUUAAUUGUGAUCAUUUUAUAUUUAUUACUUAGAUUAAAAUGUCAAAAUUUAUAAAGAAAAUUCUGGUGACUAGUAAACAUAAGUUAGCAGCUAUAUAUGGUACUAGUAAUUAAGCAUGAGUUAGCAGCCCUUACAUGAUGACCCCUUGUAAGUUAGCGGUCGGUCGGUUAUAGUUCUGUUUCUUGUAUUGUUGGCACUGAAGCUCUGUUGAACUUGUAGAUUUAUAUAUGUAACUAGUUUUGUAUAUAGAUCUACAUAUUCUUUUGUAUUUUCUGAAUCUUGUUAACUAAUUAUAUAUACUCUAUACGAUAAUUCAAAACAUAAACAUCAUCAAGGACAAGCUAGAUCCCCAUUCUAGUAAAUUAUAUACAUACAUAGAAGAGUGCAAUUCAACCUAGGUAGCGAUUUUUCUCCAAAUAAUAAUUAUUUAUAAACUAAGGGAGUCAUGUUCAAUCUGACAAAUUAUUGCGUUGUGAGCAAGAGAGGAUAAAAUUUUAAGUAGAUAUAUAUAUAUAUAUAUCCUAUAUCACGAUCGAGUGCAGAGGUAAGAGCAGUUAACUCGGGCUAAAUAUGCAAACAUUUUGUUUCUACUUAUCUAGUCAGUGAAAAAUCUAUUCUAAAUGGUGAUGCUAAGAACACAGAUCCAAUAACUAAUCAAAAUCUACGAGUAUUCGUAUGUCGCCGCAUAUAUAUAUUUAUAUGUACAAACAUACAGUUACUGAUGAAUCUCUCUCCCUCUCUCGCUCCCUCCCUCCCUCUUCUCUCUCUCUCUCUCUCUCUCUCUCUCUCUCUGUGAGUGUAGGUUUUCUAUGGCAACGUUACCUGGGCAUGCUUAGCUCGAACAUAAGGAGUGUCACCAGAAGGAACCUUGUACACCACAUGAAAUAGAUGCUGUUCUUCGUCUUUACUUGUAUUCCAACUUCCACCUUCCAUAAAUCUUUAUAUAUUUCUACAAAGAUUUGCUCUGGGGAAUGGAAAAGGUCGAGGGAGAAGAAAAGUAGACGAUUAUACAGAUACACAAACCAGAUAAUUUACGAUAGAUAGAGAAGCUCGUAGUAAUCUAGAAUAGACAUUUGACUUGCAUAAAGCAGGCAGAUGAGGAAGUCUAGAUACAAGCAAACGCAACACAAUACAAUUAUAUUAGCAUAAAAUAGAGUGAAUGUGGAUGGGUAUGCGUCUAGGUUCCUUGUAUGAAUUGAAUACGCGGGAUUGGACACUCUGCUUGAGACUACUGUGUAUGAGGGGCCAGCUCACCAUUUACAACUCUACAGUACGUCCUCAUUAUCCCUGCUUAAAUUAAUUUUCCUAUUAAUCCAGGAAUCGGAUGCGAGUCUAAUAUAAGGCGAAUCAGUGAUUAAUAAAAUAGAGAAAAGUGCUUCAAAAAAAAUAGAGAAAAGAAGAGAGUAAAUUUCAUAGCAGGAACUAAAGUGUCGAUAUUUAUAUAAAAUAGUGAUAAAUUUUUAUAAAAGUAAAACAGGCUAGUCAUUUUCUCCGUUUUUAAUUCCGUCCGCAUCCAGUUUAUCUUAUUCUUAUAUAAUUAAUUAUGAAUAAUUAAAGAAUAAAUUUCAAAAUGUUGUCUAAAUUUUUCUGAUUUUCAUAAAUUAAGGAUUGAUUAUGAAACAAUAUUUUGUGAAUUUUUGAAAAUUUUGGUCACCAUUAUAGAAUACUUUAACUUUUAAUAUUUAAUAAUAUAUUAUUAACAGUAUUGACGACCGUCGCCUUUUGAAAAAAUGGAGGAAAUGACUGUCAAUUUAUUGCCACUUCAAAUAAACAUUAUAUUUUGAGUAUCAUUUUAUUUUCAAAUUUUAGUUAGAUGUUUAAAUAUGGAGCUAUUAACCAAAAAAUCAAACUAACUUGUCAUUUUUUUGCCAAAAAAUCUAUAAAUCUAUUUUUCCACCAAUAACCCCAAUAAACUUUACUAAAUGUUUGAAAAACAUUUAACUAGAGUUAGUUAUAGCCGAUGUGGACUAAUUAUGAUCAUCACAUAUCCUAUGUGGCAAAUUGAUUACAAUUAAUCAAAAAAAUAACUAAAAAAUAUAUCAGCACCACUAAAAUCAGUUUUAAUAUGAUUGAUCAAAAGCUCAUGGUUGAUCAAAAGUUCGUUAAGACAGGGAAGUACCAGGCUCUCAUUAAAACAAUGAACAGAUUGAGAAUUGCUCUGCCGCCAUAGUUAUUGCACUCGUUUCUACGUGGUUGAUUUUCUAUGUAGAAAAAAUGUAUCUAUGGUGUAUAUUAAUGUGCAAAAUUCUUACUUAGCUACUCGAGCAUAAACAAUUAACCAAGUUUCAGCCGUGUAGCACGUCAAGCAGCAGAAUGAGAACUCUGAAUUGAGUAAGACAUAUUUUGACCACUUAGCACAAACAAUCCACCCAAAUACAAACACAAUCAUAUAUUUUGUCCAAUCAACCGUCCCGAACAACUCCAAACAACACACCCCCUAAAAUUUUAUAAAAUUUAGUCGCGUGAGACACCCCAACCAAACCUCUGAACUCAGGAAAACAUAAAAAGUUGUUCCAUCUCUUUAAUUUUGUAUUGAAUGGAGUUAGAAAUAACACCCCAUCUGCUAAUCUUUUCACAUACCCUCUGAUUACGUCAAAAUGAUAACCCCAAUAAUUUAUUUCGAACGUCAACCUCAGCGUUUACAAUAAUCUGCCAAUAUCACACAUCUUCACUUGUUUUCAUCUUAUUUUUUAAAUCUAAACUAACAAAUAUCAUAUUAUAAAUUAUUACUAUUAAUGAUUAGGUGCUAUGUGGCACACACGUGUGUAAAAAGAUACAAAUCAGGAAAGAUACAUGACAAGUCACAUUGGUAGAUUUAACCAUGGUUAUUUUAUAUUUAUUUUUACACUUUUAAUAAAGUUUAUUGGGGUUGUUAAAGAAAACAGAAGGUUAAAGGUUUUUUGACAAAAAAUUGACAAGUUCAUUGGGUUUUUUGGCUAAUAACUCUUAAAUAUAUAUGUAUGACCUAUUUUUCUUUUAUAUGUAUAACUAAAACCCGAAUCCAAAUAAUAUAUCUAAUAAUAUAUCUCUUAAUCACUUUCUUAUAAUAAUAUUUAAUUUAAUGCUAAUAUACUUAAAUAUAUGUGUUGUGUGUAUAUCAUAUAUUACAAGAUAUUUAAAACUAAAUAAUUUACCUAUACACUUGAAGCUCCCUCUAAUUGAAUUCUAGAUCAGAGACUAAUCUCUUAAUUUAAGAAAAAUAUAUAUGUCAGAUUAUUUUCAUAUCUUUUCCCUUAUCCUAAAAUAAUAAAUUUAAUUGUCUGUUUAUAUUUUUGUACCCUUAUUUGUUAGUUUGGUUGCACAUCUAUACUAUAAUAUAAUAAGCCAACAUGGGUAUAAUUUGUCGUCGUACAAAAUUUUGGUUUGUUCAUGUUGGUUUAGUGAUUCACCUUAUAACUAAAAGUCUGCUCCAAAUAGAGUUCUCAUAGGUUUACAUCUCUAAACAAUUUAAUAUACUACAACAUAAAAACUCCACCAUUAUUCUUUUAAAUAUAAUUUAUAAUUAGUUGAAUAAAAAAAAAAAAAUUUACUAUCAUUAAUAUUAUAUAAUAAUUAAUAAUUAUUUUUGAAUUAUAUAGCCGCCCGUGCAUUGCACGGGUUUAAGGCUAGUAUAUAUAAAAUAAACAUUUGGGAGAUAAAAUUAUACAUUAAAAAAUUGUACCGAAUGAAUAUGACCUCAAUUGUGUACUCAAAGAAGAAUAUGGCCACAAAGACAGUCUGAUACAAUUCAAUUCCUUUCUCUCCCUUUGUUUUGGCAGGCCGUUCACUCAUUAGCCUUCAGUUACACAGAAGUUCCAAUUAUAAAAGGAAAAAAAUGAAAUUAAAAAUUCAUUAACUUGUGAAAAAAUAUAUGUUCCGUUCACGCAGCGAUGCUUUCUAUAUGUAAAAAAAUAUACAGUAUAUUCUAUACGAAUGUCUUUAAUUAUCUGAGGAAAAUAAAUGCGGCUUCCACGGUGGUUUAUGUAGCCACCUCUGUUCCGUAGGCUUUCCCAUGAUAUCAGCCUUCAUCGAUCAUGUAACUCCAUAUGCAUUUAUAAUUGGAGCAACAAAUCCUUCGGUAUGUAAUUGUAAUACAACAACCGCUGAGACCUGAGAUUGAUAGCUCUACUCACAAUGUUAAAAUUAAACCUAAAAUUUACUUUCACUGACAACAUUGUAACCACCUCCGUGCUUGCCUGGGAUGUUGCUAAAGUUUCAGAGUUCAUUGUGGAUGAUUUCGCUAUGGCUCUGACUGUCCCACAUAACACACAGCUUUUUACCUAUGAAUAUAAAAACUUACUAGCAGUAGAUUUCACCAAUUUGGCAAGACAAAAGACGUGUAAAUGCAAGUUACUUGAAGCAUCAUGGAUGCUGAACAUCUCAGGUGCAAAAUCCUCCAACUUUCAUGUAAUGCAGUUCUGUCAGAUUCCAUUACCUUCAGAAAAAAUAAAUCAAUUUUGUAGUUUUGUUGUUGAUAAAUUUGUCUUUCUGGGCUUCCAAGAGAGUAGUUAAAGUAGUUGGAAUUCACCCUGGAGGGGGUCUAGUUAUAAUUUGAAGUUAACAUAGUGAUUGAGAUCAUUAAGACGUUGCAUUUUAACAUCAACUGACAAUAAGAAUUCUUCAACACAAGCAAGUGAAGAAAAAACAGACAGAAUUGGACUCUUGAAAAAAAAUCAUGUUCACUUAUGGCAAUAGCAACCAUCUUACUUAACGCGCCUUCCCCAUUGCUUUAAGAACUAUAUGCCUUGCUUGUCUCCCCUGCAUAGGUGAAAACUACUCUGCAACUCUACUAGAAAGGAUCAUAACGAAAAUAUUAGUAAACUAGUAGUCCACAAUUCACAAAGUCCUCUCAUUAAAGAGAUCUGAUCGUCGAAUAACACAAAAGAACACUGCUGCUUAUUUUCCACCAUACCGACCAGCAUGCAUAGCAUAAUCCCCUUCCAUCAAAAUCUAUGUUAGCGUUUCUAUGAGGAACCUUCUUCAAGUCCUGUAGCUCUUAAUAUCUGAAUAUUAUAAGCUACUUUUGAGUAUAGUUCUGCUGAAUCUGCUAAAUGCUCCAAGUUUCUCUGAGUAAACCACAGGUGAAAUCAAGAAAGCUGUGUACUCACUUACACAAUUACACAACUACUAAAGCAAAUCAUAACCGCACAGUUCUUAAUAGACAAAGGACAACAGGCAUUAUACCAUAACUAAAAGAGCCCGCGAAAAAUAUUAGAACCAAAGAUUUAAUAUAGUAUUGCAAAUUGCAACUGGAUGAAUGCAUUUGAAGAACUGGGGAUUUGCAGAGAAUGCAAGCCAAAAGGGAAUCGCUCAAGAAUUACAUUUGCUACUUAGGAACUAAAAGAUAUAUCAAUGGAAACUAAAAAAAUUUAUCUGUAUCCAAACUACAAUAUCAAAACAGCAAAUUGUUGUCUAGUCUCCAACUUGUUUGCUUGAACUUGUUGAUUACUCAGGUUUGUAGAGCACUUGAGUGUUUGCCUAAGCGUUUAUUCUGAUACAGCAUUGAGACCCUAAUUAACUAUGUUAUCAAUUGAUACACUAGAACAAAAGCUUGUGACCUUGUGGAAGUGAUUCAAAGGUACUGGCAAAUCCGGAAUCCGUCUCCAGCUGCACUUUGAUAUAUUGCUGAUCUCACAAACACAUGCCGUAUAAUUCAUAUGCCGCUCUUCAUUGAAAACAUACACAAGAUCAUCCAAUCCCACACAUUUCAAGCUUGCAAAAUUAUAAUCUUCCUGAUGACCAUCGAACAAACAAGCAAGCAAUUCAGCAGGCAUUAUUGCCAACUCACUAAACUCCAUUGUCUUGUCAUCAAUACUCCACAAAUUAAAGCUGACUCCACGGUGAUCAUUGCACAAUCCAGCCAAUACAAGAAGCUCAUUGCACGAAAUCAAGAAGGCAAAUAAAAGGCCAGGAGGCCUAAGUGUCUGAACUUCACUCCAGACAUGCGUAUCCAAAUCAAAAGUAGAGACAAAACCCGAAUAAAUCCCAUAAACAUAAAACUUACCAUCAAACAAGGCCGAUGAUAAAGACUGAGAUGUAUUCCCAUUCCGGAAAUCUGCAGGUAAAGGGGAACAAUUUUCCCAACAACCACAAUGAGGAUUAUAAAUCUCAACAAACAGUCCAUCCUCUAUAUCAACCAAACCACCCACAAACUUAACUCCACCUACAACAAUAAAUCUCGGCAAUUCACAUCCUUUAUCAUAAAACGCACCAACCAAAGGAUUCAAUCUAGGACAGUUCAACAUGCAUGUGACAUGCACAUCCCGGCUCAAAAUCGGACAAAAACUAAAGCUGCUGCCCGAGGUACAAACAUAGUAUCCAUUACAUCCCAUAAAAGAAGAAUCAUUUUGGUGUCGAAAAACAGGGAGAUUCAGCCACUUAUCGAGAUGAGGGUCAAAAGCAAGUAAUUGAUUGUUUCUUGGAAAAAUAUUGUUGAGGCCAUAGAGAAACAAGAAAGGCUUUUUCCGAGUAACCGCCACAGCAGAUGAAAAGGUGGAGCUGGUGACAAUGGAGUGCCAAUGCUUGCAAACCGCGGUGGCGCGUACGAUGGACGUGAGAGGCAGAAUGGAAAGAAUGAGCUCAGUGAGAUCUGAGCUGAGAGAGUUAAAGCCAGAAACAGAAACCUUGAUGACAUCUUUGCAUAUGUUUGAUUCUGCCAUUUUGUUGAAUGAGUUGAAGUCAAGUAAACAGAUAAUGUAUGAAUGAUUUAUACAAGUAAUGAGUGUUGGUUGAGGAACAUGAUGGUUGACCGUUAAAAACGAUAUUUGCAGAGUCUAGACGGACGAAUAGGGUCAGAUGAAUGGUCCAGAAUCAAAGUUAAAUAUGUAAAAUUAUUCAGAUAAAUGUACAAGGGACCUCCAAAUGGCUUAUUAUCUUCAAAUCAUUGUCAUUGCAGACUUGGAGUUAACCUACUGUCAAACGAUAUUAAGACGAUUCCUUUCUACUCCUUUCAUUGUCUGUUAGGAAAACUUUAUAAUUCAUCAAUAAUUCACCGCAAUAAAAUACCUAUUUUAUUACGAAAUAUUUUUCAUUGUGAAAUUAGUUAAAUAUAUCAAAAAUCAAAUAUGAUGAAUUUAAAAAAAUUUGUGCAAGAAAUAUGAUAAGGACUCUGUUGAUUAUUAUUAUUUUUGCCUAACGAGAGGUGAAGAUGAGGCAUUCAAAUUGAUAAUACUAGAGUACAUUUUAUGGGAAGAGAGUUAAAACUUCAUUGAUUACUGGAGAGAUUGAUGUUCAUUGUACAAGAACAUAUCAGAUGCUCAAUUUAUCGUCUGAUCUUUCGACAAAAUGAAUUUAUUAACAUGAAGGGUACUGAAUGAAGCAGCUUUUAGAUAUAUAAUUCUAUGGAUAAUGCAGGAAUUCGCGUUCCUCGGAUCUAGUCUUCAAAGCUCUAGCACCACAACUGUUGAAAUCAUAAUAGACCAAGUUAGAUAAGUACCCACAUUAUCGAUCAUUGGUAUUUAUAAUCGGUAAGAUUAACAUAUAUAAAGGAAAUAGGUCUUACAAUCUGAGUCCGUGGUGAUCCAGCUUCCUGAUUUAGCAGGAGUACUAUGAUCACCGCGAUGAAGAGGAGUCGAGUUGGAAGAAUAAGGUAUCAUCAUAUUCUGAUUGGUUGUGAUUCUUUUAGAAGAAGCCCUUGAUAGACAAGAGUAAACAGAUGAUGAAGUGGUGGAGCAACUCUCCAUAUCCCAUCUGAAACUGAUCUUUGGCGAGUCAUUACUCAGCUGACCAUCGUCUGGUACUGAUUUUAAUGCUGCUCUAGCUCGAAAUUGCAAGACCUGAAACAUAAUUUCACUCAUUUAUAAAUUAUAAUUGAGUAAUUGACCGCUAUAUUUAGAUGAAUAUUGAUUAUUGAGGCCUGAUGGAACUGAUGUUUGUGUUUUGAUUUACCUUUCGAGUGAUGUACCUCCCUCCUUUCUCAGAUUUGGCAGCAGCCGCCCAUCUUAUAAGCUCCUUCAUUUUCGACAAGGUAUUCGUUUUGUCGCUCUUAGCUUUCUCAUCUCUUUUUUCGUCGUUGACAUACUGGUGUCUAGAUGAUAGUGCAACAUCGAUGAGAGGUAGAACCUUGGUAUUCCCCAAAUAAUUAACCGGGGCAUCUCGUCCUUUGUUGUUACUAAUACCUAAUCCUUUAACUAUAUCUUCCUUCGUCAUCAUCUUCAUUGUACGGAAGCUCUUCAAAUUAAUAGAUAUAAGCAAGUCUCUGCAAUGCCUCUUCUUCUCAGUACAUUAAAAAAAGUUAACUUCUCACGUCUUUGAUUAGCUUCAACAACAGUAUAUCUGAUUUAGCUGGAAAAAGAACGAAACAAGAAACUUUGUUAGUCAGAGUUUCAAUUAUCUGAUUCUACCAUGCAUGAUAUCAAUAUCUGUGAUGGCUUCGACUUACCACUCAAACUCUCCUCUUUGGUUCGACAAUCAGAGGCUACUCUGCUGCUCUCUUUAACACGAUUUUACCAACUGAGAUUUCAGUGUGAAAGGCUUGAUUAUAUUCAUUAGUAGCAUGAAGGUAUAUAUAGGUACAUAGCCUGAUACAUGGAUAAGUUUAAACUACGUCAAAGUCUAUCUAUCUGUUUUCCUGUUACUAUUGUUACAACUGUAUACAUAUACUUAGAGAUGAGGUUUGACUUGAUCAGACUGCGGAAUGCAUGUUACGCCCCCUCAAGAUGGAGGCUCCAUUGGAGACUCCCAGCUUGGUGCGAAGAUGAAGAAAACUUUGUCGAGAGAGAGGUUUCGUAAGAAUGUCAGCAAAUUGAUCCUUAGAGUGAACAUGUGCAACACGAAGAGAUCCAGCAGCCACUUGUUCACGCACAAAAUGAUAAUCCAAGGAGAUGUGCUUCAUGCGCGAGUGAAAUACAGGAUUGGAGCUCAAAUAUGUUGCCCCUGUAUUAUCACAGUAGAUGGUAGGCGGAGAUGAAGCAGGAAUAUGUAACUCAGAUAAUAGAUUUUUAAGCCAAAUGAGUUCAGCUGCUGCAUUAGCGACGGCCUUGUAUUCCGCCUCUGAAGAAGACCUCGAAACAGAAUUUUGUUUAGAUGAUUUCCAUGAAAUUGGAUUGGAACCCAAGUACACAACAUAACCUGUAGUGGAACGUCCAGUGUCUCUUUCUCCACCCCAAUCUGAAUCGCUAAAAGCAGAUAAUUGUAGCGGAGAAUUUUUGCGCAAGAACAGACCAUAAUGAAUUGUCCCUUUGAGGUAUCGCAGGAUGCGUUUAAGAGCAACCCAAUGGUUUUCAGUAGGAGCAUGCAUAAAUUGAGAUAAUUUAUUAACUGCGAAAGACACAUCCGGCCGAGUGAUUGAUAAAUAUUGUAGCCCUCCAACAAGCUUGCGAUAUGGAGUAGGAUCAAUAGAUUGAGAGCCAUCAUGAAGCACUAAAUUUGAUGUAGCUGACAUAGGCGUAAUCAUCUCUUUGGCACCAUCUAAAUGAUGUUGCGAUAAUAAAUCAGAAAUAUGUUUAGCUUGAGACAAGAAUAGACCUGAAUUGGUAGGAAUAACUUCAACUCCCAGAAAAUGAUGCAGUGGUCCCAAAUCUUUCAGAGAGAAUUUUUGAUUCAAACAUGCAACAAACUUAUUAACAGACGGCACAUUGUUCCCAGUAAGCACAAUAUCAUCCACAUAAACCAUAAAAUAAAUAAUGAUGCCCGCUGAGUGAUAAAUAAAUAAUGCAGAAUCAGCAACAGAACUUUUAAAACCAUACUCAAGCAGAAAGGUUUUAAGAGCUUUAUACCAUUCAUGAGAUGCCUGUUUUAAACCAUAGAUAGUUCUGCGAAGUCUGCAAAUAUGAUGUGGAUAUGAAGGGUGCAAAAAGCCUGGAGGUUGGACCAUGUAUACCUCAUCAUUCAGGUGCCCGUUAAGGAAUGCGUUGUUAAUGUCCAGUUGACGAGUUGGCCAGCCACGAGAAAGAGCAAUACUUAACACAAUCCGAAUUGUUGCUGGCUUGGUGACCGGGCUAAAAGUUUCUGAAUAAUCAACACCCGGACGCUGUUGAAAGCCUUUUGCAACAAGGCGCGCCUUAUAUUUAUUAACAGACCCAUCUGGAUUUCUUUUAAUCCGAAAAACCCACUUACACGCUAUUGUUGGCUGAUUUGAUUUUGGCACCAAGUCCCAAGUGCCAUUUUUAGUGAGAGCAUCAAAUUCAAGGGACAUUGCUUCGCGCCAGUGAAGAUCCUUUAAAGCUUGUGAUACUGAUUUAGGCUCUAAUGAAGGAGAAAUGGGAUGAAGGGUGGUAUGAUUUAUGAAUUGUGAGUUAAAGUAUUUUGGAUUGGGACGUCUAGAACGAGGUUCCGGCAGUAGAUUGGGAGAGGGUGAAGGUGGAUGAGAUACUGAAGUAGACUCAAUUUGUGAUGAAGCCGAGGGAGGUGAAGAUACAACGGGUGAAUUUAUUUGACUAGAGGAUGAAGACGUGGGACCUUCAUGUGAAGCAGGUGGGGUUUCUGUAAAGGAAGCAGUUUGAGUGGUUUGUGAUUGAGGUAAAAUAGUGGUAGUUAAAGGUGGUGUAGUAACAACAGUGGGGUUCAAAGGAGGAUAGUACGAGUCUGGCACAACUGGGAGAGCAGAAUCACGCGUCUUAUUAUGCAUAGGAAAUUGGGACUCCACAAAAUGAACAUGUCGUGAGUGAUACAGACGAUUAUGAUUGAGAUCAAGGCACUUGUAGGAGGACUUAGAAGGAGAGUAUCCUAAGAAAAUACAUGGCACAGAUUUAGGUUGUAGUUUCGAGUUAUUGUAUGGACGAAGCCAUGGAUAACAAAGACAACCGAAAAUCUUUAACCGUGAGUAAUUUGGUGAUUUACCAAAGAGUGACUCAAACGGGGUGCAAUACUGAUUGGUUCUGGAUGGCAAACGAUUGAUGAGAUAUGUUGCCGCUUGGAAAGCAUGAGACCAGAAGGUUAAAGGUAGUGAUGCCUGAUGUAAAAGAGUGAGACCUGUUUGGACAAUAUGACCAUGACGACGUUCAGCCAUGCCAUUGUGUUCAGGAGUGUGUGGAGGAGUAGUAAAAUGUGAGAUGCCUUGAGAAUUCAGAAAAGAAGCAAGUGCGACAAAUUCGCCACCAUUAUCUGAAAAAAUAGAUUUAAUGGAUAAAUUAAAGAAUUUUUCCACAACCUGUUUGAACUGAAUAAAGACAUGGUGCACAUCUGAUUUUUGUUUUAUAGGAUAAAGCCAUAUGUAUUUGGUGUAGUGAUCAACAAAUAAGAGAUAAUAUUUAAAUUUAUCAAUGGAAGUGACAGCAGGGCCCCAAACAUCAGUAUAUAUCAAUUCUAAAGGGCGAGAACUUGUCAUUGAUGAAACACCAAAAGGUUGUUUAUGACUUUU